RNAcentral lists this transfer RNA (77 nucleotides) under Gammaproteobacteria bacterium. Its description in RNAcentral is "tRNA-Arg". It matches the Rfam family "tRNA". From Rfam's summary of the family: Transfer RNA (tRNA) molecules are approximately 80 nucleotides in length. Their secondary structure includes four short double-helical elements and three loops (D, anti-codon, and T loops). Further hydrogen bonds mediate the characteristic L-shaped molecular structure. tRNAs have two regions of fundamental functional importance: the anti-codon, which is responsible for specific mRNA codon recognition, and the 3' end, to which the tRNAs corresponding amino acid is attached (by aminoacyl-tRNA synthetases). tRNAs cope with the degeneracy of the genetic code in two manners: having more than one tRNA (with a specific anti-codon) for a particular amino acid; and 'wobble' base-pairing, i.e. permitting non-standard base-pairing at the 3rd anti-codon position. The record is from RNAcentral. Lineage: Bacteria; Pseudomonadati; Pseudomonadota; Gammaproteobacteria.
GCCCUUGUAGCUCAGCCGGAUAGAGCAAGCGCCUCCUAAGCGCUAGGUCGGAAGUUCGAAUCUUCUCAAGGGCGCCA